RNAcentral lists this ribosomal RNA (470 nucleotides) under uncultured bacterium. RNAcentral describes it as "SSU rRNA". It matches the Rfam family "Bacterial small subunit ribosomal RNA", at positions 26 to 518 of the family's 1533-position model. The record is from RNAcentral.
AGGACAAACGCUGGCGGCGUGCCUAAGACAUGCAAGUCGAACGGUGGGGCUUGCCCCACAGUGGCGGACGGGUGAGGAACGCGUGGGCAACCUGCCCCGGGGUGGGGGAUAACACUCAGAAAUGGGUGCUAAGACCGCAUACGAGUGGGGGACGGAAGGUUCCUUAGGGAAAAGCCUUCGGGCUGCCCUGGGAGGGGCCCGCGUCGGAUUAGCUAGUUGGUGUGGUAACGGCGCACCAAGGCUGCGAUCCGUAGCUGGUCUGAGAGGACGACCAGCCACACUGGGACUGAGACACGGCCCAGACUCCUACGGGAGGCAGCAGUUAGGGAAUUUUCACAAUGGGCGCAAGCCUGAUGGAGUGACGCCGCGUGCAGGACGACGCCUUUCGGGGUGUAAACUGCUUUUCUUCGGGUACGAGAACGGACGGUACCGGAGGAAGAAGCCUCGGCUAACUACGUGCCAGCAGCCGC